UACGUAGGGUGCGAGCGUUAAUCGGAAUUACUGGGCGUAAAGCGCGCGCAGGCGGCUGUGCAAGUCAGAUGUGAAAUCCCCGGGCUUAACCUGGGAACUGCAUUUGUGACUGCAUGGCUAGAGUGUGGCAGAGGGGGGUAGAAUUCCACGUGUAGCAGUGAAAUGCGUAGAUAUGUGGAGGAAUACCGAUGGCGAAGGCAGCCCGCUGGGAUAACACUGACGCUCAUGCACGAAAGCGUGGGGAGCAAACAGG
This 253-nucleotide ribosomal RNA is filed under the name uncultured bacterium. Its description in RNAcentral is "partial 16S ribosomal RNA". It matches the Rfam family "Bacterial small subunit ribosomal RNA", at positions 524 to 776 of the family's 1533-position model. The record is from RNAcentral.